CGGCGGACGGGUGAGUAACACGUGGGUAACCUACCUAUAAGACUGGGACAACUUCGGGAAACCGGAGCUAAUACCGGAUAAGAUAUCGAACCGCAUGGUUCGAUAGUGAAAGAUGGUUUUGCUAUCACUUANAGAUGGACCCGCGCCGUAUUAGCUAGUUGGUGAGGUAACGGCUCACCAAGGCAACGAUACGUAGCCGACCUGAGAGGGUGAUCGGCCACACUGGAACUGAGACACGGUCCAGACUCCUACGGGAGGCAGCAGAC
RNAcentral lists this ribosomal RNA (266 nucleotides) under uncultured Staphylococcus sp. RNAcentral describes it as "partial 16S ribosomal RNA". It matches the Rfam family "Bacterial small subunit ribosomal RNA", at positions 96 to 354 of the family's 1533-position model. Lineage: Bacteria; Bacillati; Bacillota; Bacilli; Caryophanales; Staphylococcaceae. The record is from RNAcentral.